RNAcentral lists this ribosomal RNA (303 nucleotides) under uncultured bacterium. RNAcentral's name for it is "partial 16S ribosomal RNA". It matches the Rfam family "Bacterial small subunit ribosomal RNA", at positions 507 to 807 of the family's 1533-position model. The record is from RNAcentral.
AGCAGCAGCCGCGGUAAUACGAAGGGUGCAAGCGUUAAUCGGAAUUACUGGGCGUAAAGCGUGCGUAGGCGGUUUGUUAAGUCUGCUGUGAAAUCCCCGGGCUCAACCUGGGAAUGGCAGUGGAUACUGGCAAGCUAGAGUGUGUCAGAGGAUGGUGGAAUUCCCGGUGUAGCGGUGAAAUGCGUAGAGAUCGGGAGGAACAUCAGUGGCGAAGGCGGCCAUCUGGGACAACACUGACGCUGAGGCACGAAAGCGUGGGGAGCAAACAGGAUUAGAUACCCGGGUAGUCCCUGUCUCUUAUAC